GUGGGUAGUUUGACUGGGGCGGUCUCCUCCUAAAGAGUAACGGAGGAGCACGAAGGUUGGCUAAUCCUGGUCGGACAUCAGGAGGUUAGUGCAAUGGCAUAAGCCAGCUUGACUGCGAGCGUGACGGCGCGAGCAGGUGCGAAAGCAGGUCAUAGUGAUCCGGUGGUUCUGAAUGGAAGGGCCAUCGCUCAACGGAUAAAAGGUACUCCGGGGAUAACAGGCUGAUACCGCCCAAGAGUUCAUAUCGACGGCGGUGUUUGGCACCUCGAUGUCGGCUCAUCACAUCCUGGGGCUGAAGUAGGUCCCAAGGGUAUGGCUGUUCGCCAUUUAAAGUGGUACGCGAGCUGGGUUUAGAACGUCGUGAGACAGUUCGGUCCCUAUCUGCCGUGGGCGCUGGAGAACUGAGGGGGGCUGCUCCUAGUACGAGAGGACCGGAGUGGACGCAUCACUGGUGUUCGGGUUGUCAUGCCAAUGGCACUGCCCGGUAGCUAAAUGCGGAAGAGAUAAGUGCUGAAAGCAUCUAAGCACGAAACUUGCCCCGAGAUGAGUUCUCCCUGAGACUUAGAGUCUCCUGAAGGAACGUUGAAGACGACGACGUUGAUAGGCCGGGUGUGUAAGCGCAGCGAUGCGUUGAGCUAACCGGUACUAA
Molecule: ribosomal RNA, 649 nt
Filed under: Salmonella enterica
Lineage: Bacteria; Pseudomonadati; Pseudomonadota; Gammaproteobacteria; Enterobacterales; Enterobacteriaceae
Also listed under: 3 other names
Description: partial 23S ribosomal RNA
Rfam family: Bacterial large subunit ribosomal RNA
Source: RNAcentral